Molecule: small RNA, 682 nt
Filed under: Pongo abelii (Sumatran orangutan)
Lineage: Eukaryota; Metazoa; Chordata; Mammalia; Primates; Hominidae
Description: processed transcript
Source: RNAcentral
AAUAGUCACAUGACACGUUUCCCGUCAAGAUGGCGGAUACUCUCCCUUCGGAGUUUGAUGUGAUCGUAAUAGGGACGGGUUUGCCUGAAUCCAUCACUGCAGCUGCAUGUUCAAGAAGUGGCCGGAGAGUUCUGCAUGUUGAUUCGUAAGUUUAUCAACGAUAGCAUUUAAUACUUCCUAAAUAUCUCUAUACAAGAUUAAAAUUUACAUAAACACAUAUAUGUCUGUACAUAUGUACAUGUAUGUAUAUAUCAUACAUAAACUUAAGUUAGAAAAAAGAUUGGAGUUGUUUAAUUUUAACCACUAAUAUGUGAAAUAUAUAGCAUACAAGUUUUACUAUUCUGUGAAAUAGUGAUCUUUCCUUUGAGAAUAAACCAAAUGCAUCAUUUUAUUUUUCUCAUGAGUGAUUUUGUUUAAAAUAACAAGUAAUUCUCCAAGAGGCUUGGAAACCUCAUGCCUGCCCCUUUUCCUACAUAUGUGUGUGGGUAUAUACAACCUAUAUAUGCUAUUGUAUUUUAGGCUUCAUAUUCGAUGGUUGUAAAAGUCAGCCAAUAGAUUUUGAGUAUUAUUUUCUUAAACUUCAUCAAAAUUAAACUUAGGAAGUCUUAACUAGGAAAAAUAUCUACAAUGAUGUUUUUCCCUUUCUUUCUUAAAUGUGAUGAUAAACAGGAGGUUGAUGGAA